This 425-nucleotide ribosomal RNA is filed under the name uncultured bacterium. Its description in RNAcentral is "partial 16S ribosomal RNA". It matches the Rfam family "Bacterial small subunit ribosomal RNA", at positions 354 to 796 of the family's 1533-position model. The record is from RNAcentral.
GUGGGGAAUCUUAGACAAUGGGCGCAAGCCUGAUCUAGCCAUGCCGCGUGAUCGAUGAAGGCCUUAGGGUUGUAAAGAUCUUUCAGUGGGGAAGAUAAUGACUGUACCCACAGAAGAAGCCCCGGCUAACUCCGUGCCAGCAGCCGCGGUAAUACGGAGGGGGCUAGCGUUGUUCGGAAUUACUGGGCGUAAAGCGCACGUAGGCGGAACAGAAAGUCAGAGGUGAAAUCCCAGGGCUCAACCUUGGAACUGCCUUUGAAACUACUGUGCUUGCGUUCGAGAGAGGUGGGUGGAAUUCCGAGUGUAGAGGUGAAAUUCGUAGAUAUUCGGAGGAACACCAGUGGCGAAGGCGGCUCACUGGCUCGAUACUGACGCUGAGGUGCGAAAGCGUGGGGAGCAAACAGGAUUAGAAACCCUUGUAGUCC